AAGUCGUAACAAGGUUUCCGUAGGUGAACCUGCGGAAGGAUCAUUAACGAGUUCUUGAACAGGUUGUCGCUGGCCCUUUACAGGGUAUGUGCACACCUGGCUCAAUUUCCACUCUUAACCUCUGUGCACUCUUUGUAGGUCGGUUGAUGCUGGCGCAAGUCAGUUUGAAGCCUUCCUAUGUUUUAUUACAAACGCUUCAGUUAUAGAAUGUUUACUUUGCUAUAACGCAAAUAUAUACAACUUUCAGCAACGGAUCUCUUGGCUCUC
RNAcentral lists this unclassified non-coding RNA (267 nucleotides) under fungal sp. RNAcentral describes it as "partial internal transcribed spacer region". The stretch from base 1 to 46 matches the Rfam family "Eukaryotic small subunit ribosomal RNA", at positions 1786 to 1831 of the family's 1831-position model. Lineage: Eukaryota; Fungi. The record is from RNAcentral.